UGCCAGCAGCCGCGGUAAUACGGGGGGUGCAAGCGUUGUUCGGAUUUAUUGGGCGUAAAGCGCGUGUAGGCGGUUUGUUAAGUCUGAUGUGAAAGCCCUGGGCUCAACCCAGGAAGUGCAUUGGAAACUGGCAGACUUGAGUACGGGAGAGGGUAGUGGAAUUCCGAGUGUAGGAGUGAAAUCCGUAGAUAUUCGGAGGAACACCGGUGGCGAAGGCGGCUGCCUGGACCGAUACUGACGCUGAGACGCGAAAGCGUGGGUAGCAAACAGGAUUAGAUACCCUGGUAGUCCACGCCGUAAACGAUGAGUACUAGGUGUUGCGGGUAUUGACCCCUGCAGUGCCGCAGCUAACGCAUUAAGUACUCCGCCUGGGAAGUACGGUCGCAAGACUAAAACUCAAAGGAAUUGACGGGGGCCCGCACA
This 423-nucleotide ribosomal RNA is filed under the name uncultured bacterium. Its description in RNAcentral is "bacterial SSU rRNA". It matches the Rfam family "Bacterial small subunit ribosomal RNA", at positions 506 to 927 of the family's 1533-position model. The record is from RNAcentral.